GGCCGUCCUCCGCCUCCUCCUCCUCCUCUUCCUCCGCCUGCACCUCAGUCUCCUCCUCCCGCAGCUCCCCCGCCCCGCCCCAGCGCGGCCGGGCAGCCGAACGCCGCGGGGCGUUAUGUCCUUGCGCGGCCGCCGUAGCGCCCUCUGGGGCAGGGUGGCGGUCGCCGUAGCGACACGGCCUGGGUUGGGGGUGGCCUCGUUCCGUCCUGGCGGCGGGCGGGGCGCGAGGCGGUGGCGAAGGACAGCUCGGGCCAGCGGGGAUGAGCCAUGGCCUCCGUGAAGGUGGCCGUGCGAGUGCGGCCAAUGAACCGCAGGAGCGACUGCUGGGAGCGCUUUUCCUCCCUGGCAAGUUGGGAAGUGGCUCGCCGGUGGAGCGUAGAGGAACGGGGCUUUGCCUGGGAAGUUCACUCUGUCAUGGUCUGAAGCAUUGCUUGGUGUGGUCCUUCUGUAAUGACGGAAAAGUUACUCUGGUGAAGAUGGAAAACUUUGAGAGGAAGGACCUGCCAAGGAUAUAUAGCCAGGCUUCUAAAAUGUGAAAGAAACCUACUUCAUCUGAAAACAGCAGCCUUUUCUACCCGCGUGAGAGUGUUGUCUAGUUCAUUUAGAGCUAUUAAGGUUACAGGUUAUCAGCUUAAGCUCAAAGUAUAUAUAUAUAUAUAUAAAGCAGACAGUCUGCUGCAUUUACUGUAUGGACAGGAGUUCAUCACCCACUUCCUGAGGUGUGUCUGGGAAAUAAACACUGUUUUCUUUAAUGAAAUAUGUGCAUAAUAUGCAUGGUAGUUAAUGGUCUAAUGUAAGAACCAUAUGUGGAAAACGAUCCGAUUCUGCUGGCAGUGCUCUUCCUCUUCCCUUGUUCUGAAGAGAUGUAGCCAGUUCAAAAGAAAAGUGGUUUAAAGCACAGGCAGCCCAUCAGACUCUCACUGUUCCUCUCACUUGAUCUGAUUCAGGUGUUUAAAACACACGAUUUGCUAUGUUCUGAAAGUCACUCAGUAUCUUGUUUUCAGAGAGGGAAAGAC
This 1016-nucleotide long non-coding RNA is filed under the name Corvus moneduloides (New Caledonian crow). Its description in RNAcentral is "lncRNA (ENSCMUG00000017642.1)". Lineage: Eukaryota; Metazoa; Chordata; Aves; Passeriformes; Corvidae. The record is from RNAcentral.